This 483-nucleotide ribosomal RNA is filed under the name uncultured bacterium. Its description in RNAcentral is "partial 16S ribosomal RNA". It matches the Rfam family "Bacterial small subunit ribosomal RNA", at positions 28 to 523 of the family's 1533-position model. The record is from RNAcentral.
GACGAACGCUGGCGGCGUGCUUAACACAUGCAAGUCGAACGAUGAAGCUGGAGCCUGCUCCGGUGGAUUAGUGGCGAACGGGUGAGUAACACGUGAGCAAUCUGCCCUUCACUCUGGGAUAACUGCGGGAAACUGUAGCUAAUACCGGAUACGAGACCUUGGGGCAUCCCAGGGUCUGGAAAGAAUUUCGGUGAAGGAUGAGCUCGCGGCCUAUCAGCUAGUUGGUGAGGUAAUGGCUCACCAAGGCGACGACGGGUAGCCGGCCUGAGAGGGUGACCGGCCACACUGGGACUGAGACACGGCCCAGACUCCUACGGGAGGCAGCAGUGGGGAAUAUUGCACAAUGGGCGAAAGCCUGAUGCAGCAACGCCGCGUGAGGGAUGAAGGCCUUCGGGUUGUAAACCUCUUUUAGUAGGGAAGAAGCGCAAGUGACGGUACCUACAGAAAAAGCACCGGCUGACUACGUGCCAGCCGCCGCAGUAA